CCUACGGGAGGCAGCAGUGAGGAAUAUUGGUCAAUGGGCGUAAGCCUGAACCAGCCAAGUCGCGUGAGGGAUGAAGGCUCUAUGGAUCGUAAACCUCUUUUAUAAGGGAAUAAAGUGUGGGACGUGUCCUAUUCUGUAUGUACCUUAUGAAUAAGGAUCGGCUAACUCCGUGCCAGCAGCCGCGGUAAUACGGAGGAUCCGAGCGUUAUCCGGAUUUAUUGGGUUUAAAGGGUGCGUAGGCGGCCUUUUAAGUCAGCGGUGAAAGUUUUGGGCUUAACCAUAGAAUUGCCGUUGAAACUGGGGGCCUUGAGGAUGUUUGAGGCAGGCGGAAUGCGUGGUGUAGCGGUGAAAUGCUUAGAUAUCACGCAGAACCCCGAUUGCGAAGGCAGCCUGCCAAGCCAUGACUGACGCUGAUGCACGAAAGCGUGGGGAUCAAACAGGAGUAGAUACCCGGGUAGUC
Molecule: ribosomal RNA, 460 nt
Filed under: uncultured bacterium
Lineage: Bacteria
Description: partial 16S ribosomal RNA
Rfam family: Bacterial small subunit ribosomal RNA
Source: RNAcentral